UUUAGUAACGGCGAGUGAAGCGGUAACAGCUCAAAUUUGAAAUCUGGCUCCCUGCGGAGUCCGAGUUGUAAUUUGUAGAAGAUGCUUUGGGUGCUCGGCCCGGUCUAAGUUCCUUGGAACAGGACGUCGUAGAGGGUGAGAAUCCCGUAUGCGGCCGGGGUGGGUGCUCGUGUAAAGCUCUUUCGACGAGUCGAGUUGUUUGGGAAUGCAGCUCAAAAUGGGUGGUAAAUUUCAUCUAAAGCUAAAUAUGGGCCAGAGACCGAUAGCGCACAAGUAGAGUGAUCGAAAGAUGAAAAGCACUUUGGAAAGAGAGUUAAACAGUACGUGAAAUUGUUGAAAGGGAAGCGCUUGCAACCAGACUUGGGCGUCGCUGAUCAUCCAAAGUUUUCUUUGGUGCACUCGACGACGUACAGGCCAGCAUCGGUUGGGGUGGUGGGAGAAAGGUUGUAGGAACGUAGCUCUUUUCGGGGAGUGUUAUAGCCUGCGACGCAAUGCCGCCUACCCUGACCGAGGACCGCGCUUCGGCUAGGAUGCUGGCGUAAUGGUUGUAAGCGACCCGUCUUGAAACACGGACCAAGGAGUCUAACAUCUAUGCGAGUGUUUGGGUGCGAAACCCAUGCGCGAAAUGAAAGUGAACGUAGGUGAGAACCCUUCGAGGGGGCAUCAUCGACCGAUCCUGAUGUCUUCGGAUGGAUUUGAGUAAGAGCAUAGCUGUUGGGACCAAA
RNAcentral lists this ribosomal RNA (725 nucleotides) under Phyllactinia fraxini. RNAcentral's name for it is "eukaryotic LSU rRNA". It matches the Rfam family "Eukaryotic large subunit ribosomal RNA", at positions 79 to 819 of the family's 3401-position model. The record is from RNAcentral. Lineage: Eukaryota; Fungi; Ascomycota; Leotiomycetes; Helotiales; Erysiphaceae.